Non-coding RNA from Lonchura striata (white-rumped munia), 539 nucleotides. Lineage: Eukaryota; Metazoa; Chordata; Aves; Passeriformes; Estrildidae. The record is from RefSeq and is a predicted model, not a curated record.
GCGCUUCACGUGUGAUAUUUCUGAGCAAUGCCAAGAUAAAGUGCUGCAGAGAAGUCUCUUUUAAUGGCACACACUUCUCUGAUGCAUCCCAGAUUUCAUAAACGUCAGAUUUGCUGUCUUCUUGGGUUUACUUUGAACUGCAGGUCAUGCUUUGGACAGCUUGGCAAUACCUGCACAUGCAGCAAUCUUAAUUAAAGGUGGAUUUAUGCAGCUGAAUUCAACAGUUUCGAUGAAAUAACCUACCAAGUUACAGCUGAAAUGAGCAAAACAAUUUCUGUAAAGUUUUGACAGGAUAAAUACUCCUGUGAUUGAAGAACUAUAGGUGUUUACACAUCUCUUUUAAAUUUCUAAUAUCCUGUGUCAAUUAGAAUGAUGUGCAUCUUUUAAAUACACGGCUAAAAUCAGCUCAGGUGAACACAACCAAUACAAGUCCUGAGACCCUGAGCUGUCAGUUUGACUUAAUGUCAAGAGAUUGCCAAAGUUUCAGCAUCAGCAUCUGCGCUCACCGGCUUCAACAAGACUCAGAAGAAAGAAAAGAA